AGAGUUUGAUCAUGGCUCAGAUUGAACGCUGGCGGCAGGCCUAACACAUGCAAGUCGAACGGUAACAGGAAGAAGCUUGCUUCUUUGCUGACGAGUGGCGGACGGGUGAGUAAUGUCUGGGAAACUGCCUGAUGGAGGGGGAUAACUACUGGAAACGGUAGCUAAUACCGCAUAACGUCGCAAGACCAAAGAGGGGGACCUUCGGGCCUCUUGCCAUCGGAUGUGCCCAGAUGGGAUUAGCUAGUAGGUGGGGUAACGGCUCACCUAGGCGACGAUCCCUAGCUGGUCUGAGAGGAUGACCAGCCACACUGGAACUGAGACACGGUCCAGACUCCUACGGGAGGCAGCAGUGGGGAAUAUUGCACAAUGGGCGCAAGCCUGAUGCAGCCAUGCCGCGUGUAUGAAGAAGGCCUUCGGGUUGUAAAGUACUUUCAGCGGGGAGGAAGGGAGUAAAGUUAAUACCUUUGCUCAUUGACGUUACCCGCAGAAGAAGCACCGGCUAACUCCGUGCCAGCAGCCGCGGUAAUACGGAGGGUGCAAGCGUUAAUCGGAAUUACUGGGCGUAAAGCGCACGCAGGCGGUUUGUUAAGUCAGAUGUGAAAUCCCCGGGCUCAACCUGGGAACUGCAUCUGAUACUGGCAAGCUUGAGUCUCGUAGAGGGGGGUAGAAUUCCAGGUGUAGCGGUGAAAUGCGUAGAGAUCUGGAGGAAUACCGGUGGCGAAGGCGGCCCCCUGGACGAAGACUGACGCUCAGGUGCGAAAGCGUGGGGAGCAAACAGGAUUAGAUACCCUGGUAGUCCACGCCGUAAACGAUGUCGACUUGGAGGUUGUGCCCUUGAGGCGUGGCUUCCGGAGCUAACGCGUUAAGUCGACCGCCUGGGGAGUACGGCCGCAAGGUUAAAACCCAAAUGAAUUGACGGGGGCCCGCACAAGCGGUGGAGCAUGUGGUUUAAUUCGAUGCAACGCGAAGAACCUUACCUGGUCUUGACAUCCACGGAAGUUUUCAGAGAUGAGAAUGUGCCUUCGGGAACCGUGAGACAGGUGCUGCAUGGCUGUCGUCAGCUCGUGUUGUGAAAUGUUGGGUUAAGUCCCGCAACGAGCGCAACCCUUAUCCUUUGUUGCCAGCGGUCCGGCCGGGAACUCAAAGGAGACUGCCAGUGAUAAACUGGAGGAAGGUGGGGAUGACGUCAAGUCAUCAUGGCCCUUACGACCAGGGCUACACACGUGCUACAAUGGCGCAUACAAAGGGAAGCGACCUCGCGAGAGCAAGCGGACCUCAUAAAGUGCGUCGUAGUCCGGAUUGGAGUCUGCAACUCGACUCCAUGAAGUCGGAAUCGCUAGUAAUCGUGGAUCAGAAUGCCACGGUGAAUACGUUCCCGGGCCUUGUACACACCGCCCGUCACACCAUGGGAGUGGGUUGCAAAAGAAGUAGGUAGCUUAACCUUCGGGAGGGCGCUUACCACUUUGUGAUUCAUGACUGGGGUGAAGUCGUAACAAGGUAACCGUAGGGGAACCUGCGGUUG
This 1522-nucleotide ribosomal RNA is filed under the name metagenome. RNAcentral describes it as "bacterial SSU rRNA". It matches the Rfam family "Bacterial small subunit ribosomal RNA". The record is from RNAcentral.